Long non-coding RNA from Gossypium arboreum, 497 nucleotides. RefSeq lists it as uncharacterized. NCBI's taxonomy places the organism in Eukaryota, Viridiplantae, Streptophyta, Magnoliopsida, Malvales, Malvaceae. The transcript has 2 exons. The record is from RefSeq and is a predicted model, not a curated record.
UAGUUUCCCUGGAUAUGCAGGUGCAUGUUUCAAAGUUUACAUGGAAUCUAAGCACCAACAGUAGUAAUCAGACCUCGAGAUAGUCAGCAUUGCUUCCGGGGACAUUCUCUCGAGCUCGCUUUGCCUCGAUGGUGCAAAGUUGUUCCGAUUUCGAGGGUCAGAAGCCUGUGGAUAGUCUUCUCUCUGGUGAACUUGGUUCCUCAUCCUCAGGGAUUGAAGAAGAGGAUGAAGAUGAUGACCCACAAGAAUCCUAGCUUUUCCAGCUUUAGGUGAUCGAAUUUUCCACAUUGCUUCUCCAUUGCAAAGAAACUCUUCUAUCCUUCUUUGCACCUGUUUCAAUGGCAUUCCAUCUCUCAAAUGUUCGCCUCCAAUGCCACUGUUUUCAUACCUGAAAAAAAACAUGUAGUUCAAUUAUGUGAAUUAUUGUUUUAUAUUUCCUUCCAUUAGACAUUAGAGCUGAAUAAAAUCGAGAAAAUAAAAAAUCAGUUAAAUUAUAA